GGGUUGUGAGGUUAAGUGACUAAGCGUACACGGUGGAUGCCUAGGCAGUCAGAGGCGAUGAAGGGCGUGCUAAUCUGCGAAAAGCGUCGGUAAGGUGAUAUGAACCGUUACAACCGGCGAUACCCGAAUGGGGAAACCCAGUGUGUUUCGACACACUAUCAUGUCAUGAAUACAUAGUGGCAUGAGGCGAACCGGGGGAACUGAAACAUCUAAGUACCCCGAGGAAAAGAAAUCAACCGAGAUUCCCCCAGUAGCGGCGAGCGAACGGGGAGGAGCCCAGAACCUGAAUCGGCUUGUGUGUUAGUGGAAGCGUCUGGAAAGUCGCGCAGCAAAGGGUGAUAGCCCCGUACACUAAAAUGCACAGGUCGUGAGUUCGAUGAGUAGGGCGGGACACGUGACAUCCUGUCUGAAUAUGGGGGGACCAUCCUCCAAGGCUAAAUACUCCUGACUGACCGAUAGUGAACCAGUACCGUGAGGGAAAGGCGAAAAGAACCCCGGCGAGGGGAGUGAAAUAGAACCUGAAACCGUGUACGUACAAGCAGUGGGAGCACCUUCGUGGUGUGACUGCGUACCUUUUGUAUAAUGGGUCAGCGACUUAUAUUUUGUAGCAAGGUUAACCGUAUAGGGGAGCCGUAGGGAAACCGAGUCUUAACUGGGCGAAUAGUUGCAAGGUAUAGACCCGAAACCCGGUGAUCUAGCCAUGGGCAGGUUGAAGGUUGGGUAACACUAACUGGAGGACCGAACCGACUAAUGUUGAAAAAUUAGCGGAUGACUUGUGGCUGGGGGUGAAAGGCCAAUCAAACCGGGAGAUAGCUGGUUCUCCCCGAAAGCUAUUUAGGUAGCGCCUCGUGAACUCAUCUUCGGGGGUAGAGCACUGUUUCGGCUAGGGGGCCAUCCCGGCUUACCAAACCGAUGCAAACUCCGAAUACCGAAGAAUGUUAUCACGGGAGACACACGGCGGGUGCUAACGUCCGUCGUGAAGAGGGAAACAACCCAGACCGCCAGCUAAGGUCCCAAAGUCAUGGUUAAGUGGGAAACGAUGUGGGAAGGCAUAGACAGCCAGGAUGUUGGCUUAGAAGCAGCCAUCAUUUAAAGAAAGCGUAAUAGCUCACUGGUCGAGUCGGCCUGCGCGGAAGAUGUAACGGGGCUAAACCAUGCACCGAAGCUGCGGCAGCGACGCUUAGGCGUUGUUGGGUAGGGGAGCGUUCUGUAAGCCGUUGAAGGUGGCCUGUGAGGGUUGCUGGAGGUAUCAGAAGUGCGAAUGCUGACAUAAGUAACGAUAAAGCGGGUGAAAAGCCCGCUCGCCGGAAGACCAAGGGUUCCUGUCCAACGUUAAUCGGGGCAGGGUGAGUCGACCCCUAAGGCGAGGCUGAAAAGCGUAGUCGAUGGGAAACAGGUUAAUAUUCCUGUACUUGGUGUUACUGCGAAGGGGGGACGGAGAAGGCUAGGCUAGCCGGGCGACGGUUGUCCCGGUUUAAGCGUGUAGGGGGUGUGACCUGGUAAAUCCGGUUGCAUAUCAACCCUGAGGCGUGAUGACGAUGCACUACGGUGCAGAAGUAGUUGAUGCCCUGCUUCCAGGAAAAGCCUCUAAGCUCCAGGUAACAUUGAAUCGUACCCCAAACCGACACAGGUGGUCAGGUAGAGAAUACCAAGGCGCUUGAGAGAACUCGGGUGAAGGAACUAGGCAAAAUGGUGCCGUAACUUCGGGAGAAGGCACGCUGGCAUGUAGGUGAAGUCCCUUGCGGAUGGAGCUGAAGCCAGUCGAAGAUACCAGCUGGCUGCAACUGUUUAAUAAAAACACAGCACUGUGCAAACACGAAAGUGGACGUAUACGGUGUGACGCCUGCCCGGUGCUGGAAGGUUAAUUGAUGGGGUCAGCCGCAAGGCGAAGCUCUUGAUCGAAGCCCCAGUAAACGGCGGCCGUAACUAUAACGGUCCUAAGGUAGCGAAAUUCCUUGUCGGGUAAGUUCCGACCUGCACGAAUGGCGUAAUGAUGGCCAGGCUGUCUCCACCCGAGACUCAGUGAAAUUGAACUCGCUGUGAAGAUGCAGUGUACCCGCGGCAAGACGGAAAGACCCCGUGAACCUUUACUAUAGCUUGACACUGAACAUUGAGCCUUGAUGUGUAGGAUAGGUGGGAGGCUUUGAAGCGUGGACGCCAGUCUGCGUGGAGCCAUCCUUGAAAUACCACCCUUUAAUGUUUGAUGUUCUAACUCGGCCCCAUAAUCUGGGGUGAGGACAGUGUCUGGUGGGUAGUUUGACUGGGGCGGUCUCCUCCCAAAGAGUAACGGAGGAGCACGAAGGUUAGCUAAUCACGGUCGGACAUCGUGAGGUUAGUGCAAAGGCAUAAGCUAGCUUGACUGCGAGAGUGACGGCUCGAGCAGGUACGAAAGUAGGUCUUAGUGAUCCGGUGGUUCUGAAUGGAAGGGCCAUCGCUCAACGGAUAAAAGGUACUCCGGGGAUAACAGGCUGAUACCGCCCAAGAGUUCAUAUCGACGGCGGUGUUUGGCACCUCGAUGUCGGCUCAUCACAUCCUGGGGCUGAAGUAGGUCCCAAGGGUAUGGCUGUUCGCCAUUUAAAGUGGUACGCGAGCUGGGUUUAGAACGUCGUGAGACAGUUCGGUCCCUAUCUGCCGUGGGCGUUGGAAGAUUGAGAGGGGUUGCUCCUAGUACGAGAGGACCGGAGUGAACGCACCACUGGUGUUCGGGUUGUCAUGCCAAUGGCAUUGCCCGGUAGCUAAGUGCGGAAAAGAUAAGCGCUGAAAGCAUCUAAGCGCGAAACUUGCCUCAAGAUGAGUCUUCCCUGGGCCUUUAAGGCCCCUGAAGGAACGUUUAAGACUAAGACGUUGAUAGGCUGGGUGUGUAAGUGCAGCGAUGCAUUGAGCUAACCAGUACUAAUGAUCCGUGAGGCUUAACCUUACAACACCGAAGGUGUUU
RNAcentral lists this ribosomal RNA (2935 nucleotides) under Serratia sp. SSNIH1. RNAcentral describes it as "bacterial LSU rRNA". It matches the Rfam family "Bacterial large subunit ribosomal RNA". The record is from RNAcentral. Lineage: Bacteria; Pseudomonadati; Pseudomonadota; Gammaproteobacteria; Enterobacterales; Yersiniaceae.